AGAAUCAGGAAGUGCACAGAAACAAGAAGCUCGGUGCACACUGGGAUCAGGCAAGCAUCUGGGAGAAGACUGUAGCAAGACUGGAUCCUGAGAAAUAUACAGAGUUCAGAGGCUCCAUGGCUACACUUUGGGCAUGUAUGUCAUUACAGGAAUGAAAAAAAGAUGAUGGCCAAAUGCUGUAUUAAAAUCCCAUUAGAAAUGCCGGGAGAAAUUUAUGGCCCCAAUCUCUUUUAUCUGACAGUUCCCAUGUGAUCCAUCAGGCUCUGAACAUGAAUUUUAAUGGGCUCAGAACCACUUCUCUACCCUGAGGUCACAGGCUGUCAGAGUGAAUCUUCCACAAACUGAUUGGAACCUGAAGAAUUUGCUCUGUCAAGAGAGAGUGUUUCAAUUGAAUAUUGCAACUGAAGACAUUCACUCUGCGUUGAUCACCUAUGGAGUGAUCAAAUUUCAACCCUUUGAAGUUUCCUAAAUGAAAGAGGCACUCUGAAUUCAAAGGCUGUUUGAAUGAACUGACUGCUUCAGCACUGUCUUGUAGAUAUAGUCCAUUCAAAUAAAAGACAAAUAUCUGACUGAAUUUUGUUAGCACGUUAAGACAUGUAUUAUAAAAAGGUUUAAGAAGAAAAUAAUGGCCACAAUUCUUCAGAAAACAUGUGAACUAAUGUGACAAAACACUGUGGUGUUGCAAACUCAAGUGCUGCUCUGGCCAAGUCACCUCGCUGAAAUCUCCACUUCCACUUGUGCAACCUACCAAGCCACUCUCUACACAGCUGCCAGAGUGAUUACAAAAACAACGCGGGAUUAUGCUACCCCUGCUUAUCUAAAAUUUGUCAAAAUGCCCGUUACACUUUGAAUAAAAUACAGAUUCCUCUCA
This 871-nucleotide long non-coding RNA is filed under the name Homo sapiens (human). Its description in RNAcentral is "long intergenic non-protein coding RNA 1681". Lineage: Eukaryota; Metazoa; Chordata; Mammalia; Primates; Hominidae. The record is from RNAcentral.